This 642-nucleotide ribosomal RNA is filed under the name Posoniella tricarinelloides. Its description in RNAcentral is "LSU rRNA". It matches the Rfam family "Eukaryotic large subunit ribosomal RNA", at positions 36 to 667 of the family's 3401-position model. The record is from RNAcentral. Lineage: Eukaryota; Dinophyceae; Gonyaulacales; Calciodinellaceae.
AAGCAUAUAAGUAAGCGGAGGAUAAGAAACUAAACAGGAUUCCCUAAGUAAUUGCGAAUGAACAGGGACAAGCUCAGGAUGGAAAUUGGGGCCCCAGGCCUUGAAUUGUAGUCUGGAGAUGCAUUACCAACUGGGGCGCAGAUGUAAGCCUCUUGAAAUAGAGCAUCAAUGAGGGCGAGAGUCCCGUGUGACAUCUGCAGUCCCCAGUGCACGGUGUGCCUUCUGAGAGUCACGUUCCUCGGAAUUGGAGCGCAAACUGGGUGGUAAACUUCAUCUAAAGCUAAACAUGGCUUCGAGACCGAUAGCAAACAAGUACCAUGAGGGAAAGAUGAAAAGGACUUUGAGAAGAGAGUUAAAAGUGCCUGAAAUUGCUGAAGGGGAAGCGAAUGGGAUCAGUGUUACCUGGCAUGAUUGUCGAACGCUCAUGUGCUGGCUUGCUACUCCAACGCGAGUGUGGUAGUAGGACUCAAGUAUGAUGCGUGCGGUGCCUCUUGCCUGGUGUGCCAACGCCAGAUCGUGGCUGGGGAAACUUGCGGAGACAUGGUAGCUUGCCCAUGGGUGGGUGAAUGUGUCUGCUGGAACUCAACCAUGGAAUGGUGGCUGGCGAAAUGGUUCCAUCCGGCCCGUCUUGAAACACGGACC